AGGAAGUAGAGCUGCUCCCAUCCUCAUCCGAGGUAGAAUCCUCCAGCAACUGUUUUAACUGCUGUAUCCUAAACAUUCAAGAUUGAUCAAAGAACAGGUCUUGCUCUGUCACCUCGGAUGGAGUGCAGUGGUGCAAUCAUGGCUCACUGCAGCCUAAACCUACUGGGGUCAAGCAGAUCCUCCCACCUCAUCCUCCCCAGUAGCUGGAGCUACAGGGUCACAUCACUGAAAACUCAUUAAGGCUAAAAAAAGGAUUUUCCAAUGAGAAAAUACAGGAAAUGGCUACUUUCACAGACCGCCUUUGGGGUAGCCCUGCUCUGCAGGAGUGAUCACAGAGCUGUAACACUGCCACCUCAAAAACAAACAAACGGAAAACAGGAACUGAACAUCAGCUAAAGAAAAAACAUAUGGACACUUUACUCUUACAAUUGAGAUAUGUACUCUUUGAAGACUGGGAAAUUAAAUCCCUGAUUUUAGUUAUGAAACAUGGCUUUUUACAUAGUAAGUUUCAAAAGAGGGGGCUAAACAGAUAACAAUGUCUGCUUCAGAAAAAAAUCACUGUUCCAAGUUAUAAGCAAGGAACAUGUUAGUAAGAAUUAAUUCGUCAGACAAAUGUAGUUUAAUAAGCAUGUCGUUAACGGCAUAUACUUUGGCCAAAAGGCUUCUGGGAACGUACUUUACGUGAACAUUCGCCUCACUGGUGACUUGCUGUGUCACUGCUUUUCGCCGUCUCUGAUAAAUGUGAGUUGACACGGGGGCUUUACUUACCACUCU
Molecule: long non-coding RNA, 774 nt
Organism: Callithrix jacchus (white-tufted-ear marmoset)
Lineage: Eukaryota; Metazoa; Chordata; Mammalia; Primates; Cebidae
Source: RefSeq, a predicted model, not a curated record